Molecule: ribosomal RNA, 515 nt
Filed under: uncultured bacterium
Lineage: Bacteria
Description: partial 16S ribosomal RNA
Rfam family: Bacterial small subunit ribosomal RNA
Source: RNAcentral
GAUGAACCCUGGCGGCGUGCCUAAUACAUGCAAGUCGAGCGAAUGGAUUAAGAGCUUGCUCUUAUGAAGUUAGCGGCGGACGGGUGAGUAACACGUGGGUAACCUGCCCAUAAGACUGGGAUAACUCCGGGAAACCGGGGCUAAUACCGGAUAACAUUUUGAACCGCAUGGUUCGAAAUUGAAAGGCGGCUUCGGCUUUCACUUAUGGAUGGACCCGCGUCGCAUUAGCUAGUUGGUGAGGUAACGGCUCACCAAGGCAACGAUGCGUAGCCGACCUGAGAGGGUGAGCGGCCACACUGGGACUGAGACACGGCCCAGACUCCUACGGGAGGCAGCAGUAGGGAAUCUUCCGCAAUGGACGAAAGUCUGACGGAGCAACGCCGCGUGAGUGAUGAAGGCUUUCGGGUCGUAAAACUCUGUUGUUAGGGAAGAACAAGUGCUAGUUGAAUAAGCUGGCACCUUGACGGUACCUAACCAGAAAGCCACGGCUAACUACGUGCCAGCAGCCGCCGUAA